GACGUAGGAGGCGAGCGUUAUCCGGAUUCACUGGGCGUAAAGCGCAUGUAGGCGGUUGGAUAAGUCUGUUGUUAAAGCCCCCGGCUCAACUGGGGGAGGUCAAUGGAGACUGUCCGACUUGAGGGCAACAGAGGCACAUGGAACUCCCGGUGUAGCGGUGGAAUGCGUAGAGAUCGGGAAGAACACCCGGGGCGAAGGCGGCUACCUGGCCUGUUUCUUGACGCUGAGGCGCGAAAGCUAGGGGAGCAAACGGG
This 254-nucleotide ribosomal RNA is filed under the name uncultured bacterium. RNAcentral describes it as "partial 16S ribosomal RNA". It matches the Rfam family "Bacterial small subunit ribosomal RNA", at positions 524 to 776 of the family's 1533-position model. The record is from RNAcentral.